AGAGUUUGAUCCUGGCUCAGGACGAACGCUGGCGGCGUGCCUAAUACAUGCAAGUCGAGCGGUCUCUUCGGGGAUAGCGGCGGACGGGUGAGUAACACGUAGGCAACCUGCCUGUAAGAUCGGGAUAACUACCGGAAACGGUAGCUAAGACCGGAUAGCUGGUUUUCUCGCAUGAGAAGAUCAUGAAACACGGAGUAAUC
RNAcentral lists this ribosomal RNA (200 nucleotides) under uncultured bacterium. RNAcentral's name for it is "partial 16S ribosomal RNA". It matches the Rfam family "Bacterial small subunit ribosomal RNA", at positions 8 to 212 of the family's 1533-position model. The record is from RNAcentral.